This 557-nucleotide long non-coding RNA is filed under the name Gossypium barbadense (sea-island cotton). RNAcentral's name for it is "long non-coding RNA (GBAR_LNC022098)". Lineage: Eukaryota; Viridiplantae; Streptophyta; Magnoliopsida; Malvales; Malvaceae. The record is from RNAcentral.
GCCGCCGCAACACAAUUUCGCCUCAAGCCUUGGCCCUCCGCCGGACCUCCGAUUCGAGCGCGGCUGGGCUUCAUCGGCGAAGCUUCGAAGGUAAACCCCUCACCCUUCUUUUGUAUUAUUUUUUUAAAUGAAAUAAAAAGAAUAAAAGCCUAUAUUAAAAAAUGGUUCACCUUAAAAACGUAGGUGUUUCUUUCAAUUUCCUUGUGUAUUUUCGUUAAUGCAAUCUCCGUCCCUUAUUUUACAGAUUUAAUGGCCUUUUAUAGGCCGAAAAGGAAAAAAAUAAAAUAAAUAAAUCAUAUAUUUUGCUUGUUUUUCUCAUCCGGACUCUUUGAGUCCGUAUUUGCAGGUGAAAGUGGAGCAAAUGGCGCUCGUGGGGUGGUCGACUCCGUGACGUGCAGCGCCUGGGAUCUGCUGGCGGCGUCGGGGCAGACAUUCGGCUAGGGUUCUUUUUGUUUUUUGUUUUGCUUUGGGCCAGGGCUAUUUUGAGCCACUUAUUUGUUGGGUUAAUACUAUUUUCUUUUUUUGUUUUUAAACCCAGGCCGAUUGGGCCUUAUUAC